GAAAUGCGAUAAGUAAUGUGAAUUGCAGAAUUCUGUGAAUCAUCGAAUCUUUGAACGCACCUUGCGCUCCUUGGUAUUCCUUGGAGCAUGCCUGUUUGAGUAUCAUGAAAUCUUCAAAGUAAAUCUUUUGUUAACUCAAUUGGUUUCUACUUUGGUAUUGGAGGUCUUUGCAGCUUCACACCUGCUCCUCUUUGUUCAUUAGCUGGAUCUCUGUGUUAUGCUUGGUUCCACUCGGCGUGAUAAGUUAUCUAUCGCUGAGGACACUGUAAAAGGUGGCCAAGGUAAAUGCAGAUGAACCGCUUCUAAUAGUCCAUUGACUUGGACAAUACUUUUAUGAUCUGAUCUCAAAUCAGGUAGGACUACCCGCUGAACUUAAGC
Molecule: unclassified non-coding RNA, 378 nt
Filed under: plant metagenome
Description: partial contains 5.8S ribosomal RNA, internal transcribed spacer 2, and large subunit ribosomal RNA
Rfam family: 5.8S ribosomal RNA (bases 1-105)
Source: RNAcentral